GACGAACGCUGGCGGCGUGCCUAAAACAUGCAAGUCGAACGAGGUAGCAAUACCUAGUGGCGAACGGCGGAGUAAUACAUGAGGAACGUGCCCUGAAGACUGGGAUAGUCAUUGGAAACGAUGGGGUAAUACCAGAUGUGACAGUCGCUUGGCAUCAAGCAGCUAUUAAAUGGUUUUUCGCUUCAGGAGCGCCUCAUGGCCUAUCAGGUAGUUGGNGGGGUAAUGGCCUACCAAGCCGACGACGGGUAGCGGGUCUGAGAGGAUGAUCCGCUCGAGUGGGACUGAGACACGGCCCACACACCUACGGGUGGCAGCAGUUGGGAAUCUUGCACAAUGGGGGAAACCCUGAUGCAGCGACGCCGCGUGGAGGAUGAAGGAUCUAGGUUCGUAAAACUCCUUUUAUUGGGAAAGACUUAGGACGGUACCCAAUAGAAUAAGGACCGGCU
Molecule: ribosomal RNA, 446 nt
Filed under: uncultured bacterium
Lineage: Bacteria
Description: bacterial SSU rRNA
Rfam family: Bacterial small subunit ribosomal RNA
Source: RNAcentral